CAGGAGCAAAAAUAACCUUCUUAACCACCUGACGCUUAAACCAAAGAUUCACUAAGUGUGCCAAUAGGAGUACUAUAUAUAUCAGCCAAAGACAAGGCCCAGCUGUGGGCCAUGAGAGCCUCCCACUGCUGGGUCUGCCGUUCAGCUCGAGAAACAAGCCAAGAAGAAAAGCAAUGAAUGAGAGUUCCUGUUGCUCCACGUUCGGUGUUGUCAGUGUUCUGGAUUUUGACCAUUCUAAUAGACAGUGUUUUGUGCCUGAAAAGAGACACAGGCUGCAAAGACUCAUCUGAACUGUCCAGAAACGUCUUUAAUCUUGACCAUUUUCAAACACAGAUGUCCACGGUGAAGAAUUUUCUAAGGAAUUCUUACAAUGCAGAGUCUGUUCAGAGGAUGCUGAUUUCAAAACCUCUGUACACAGGGCAUAAUGAAGAGGGAAAGAAAGUGCACAGCUUCGGGUAACUUAAGAAAAAGGAAGAAGAUUUGACAGGAAAUGCAAGACUACCCAAGUAGAAAGCAUGUAGCAUGCUGUGACUCAGAAUAAAGGAAAUGUAACUCGAAGUGUAACUCUUCUGGUCUAACACAGACCAGGGCUUGCCCUCAAGCACUGCAAAGGAUGCCAGUUUCCAGCUGUAUACAUAUGCACAAAUAAAACAGGAUGCAUGUAGAAUGUACUUGCCACGAUCGUGGGCAAGGGACUCUUACUCAUCUUUCAUCAAUGAUUUCGGUUCUAUAAUUUUCCAUGAAAUUUUAUUCUUUUAGGACUAUAAAAAUUCCAAUCACUCGUGAGCUGGUAAGGGAAAUGUAUAUUUAAUGUCUAUCAGUGCAGGAUGUGGGGAGAUUAACCAUUUAAUACCGAUUUGAACAGUCUGGUAAUCUAGGGAUUUAGGAAUGUAGGUGAAGCCACUACACUGUUGGAUUUUAUUGCUGACUGUAUGUGCAUGUAUGAACUUGAGCCAGUGGAGGGAGGAAUUCAGUCCGCCGUUUCAGGACCUAUCAGUGCUGUGUGCCCUCAGUACCGUUCUUUGUGCUUCUCCUGCCCUGCUCUGUAUCCCAGGAGGCUGACCUCUGCAGGCUGUUUCCAAGCUUCUGUCUGUUUCCCAGGCUCUUAUCAUUAAUAUCACUACUUUUCCUUUCUUCUCCCUCCCUCCCUCCCUCCCUUCCUUUCUCUUCCUCUAGCUGGGUUUGGUCCAUCAGAAAUUGGAGGGUGGCAAAAGGGGAGAAGCCAGAGUACUGAUCAUCUUCCCUCUCUAGUAGUGGCUUCAUCUCUUCCUUGGCUCCAGCUUCCAAUGGACAGGCCCAGUAUGAUCCCAGCUUUGACUGGUCACCUAUGUCUCUCCAGCUUAGGAGUGGUAGCAGCUUAUAGCUAUGACCAGUCUGGGGUUGCUUCCGUGUCCUCUGCUGAGCUUCUAGCCUUUGUGGUCAACUUCCUACAUUAAAUUCCUUCUGUUUUAAAUACCCGGAGUGGUUUCUGUG
This is a long non-coding RNA of Lagenorhynchus albirostris (white-beaked dolphin), 1473 nucleotides long. RefSeq lists it as uncharacterized. The record is from RefSeq and is a predicted model, not a curated record. The transcript is spliced from 3 exons. Lineage: Eukaryota; Metazoa; Chordata; Mammalia; Artiodactyla; Delphinidae.